GUCAAAGUUCCAGAUAUGAUGUCAUUUGAUGAAUUUUUGGUACGAAAAACAAAGGAAAACUAAUUUGCAAUUCACCAAAUGACAUCAUAUCCGGAACCUUUGAC
Molecule: microRNA precursor, 104 nt
Filed under: Paramuricea clavata
Lineage: Eukaryota; Metazoa; Cnidaria; Anthozoa; Malacalcyonacea; Plexauridae
Source: RNAcentral